Molecule: ribosomal RNA, 435 nt
Filed under: uncultured soil bacterium
Lineage: Bacteria
Description: bacterial SSU rRNA
Rfam family: Bacterial small subunit ribosomal RNA
Source: RNAcentral
AGAGUUUGAUCCUGGCUCAGAAUCAACGCUGGCGGCGUGCCUAACACACGCAAGUCGAACGAGAAAGUGGAGCAAUCCAUGAGUAAAGUGGCGACCGGGUGAGUAACACGUGACUAACCUACCUCCGAGUGGGGAAUAACUCCGGGAAACCGGGGCUAAUACCGCAUAACAUCGCAAGAUCAAAGCAGCAAUGCGCUUGGAGAGGGGGUCGCGGCUGAUUAGCUAGUUGGCGGGGUAACGGCCCACCAAGGCGAAGAUCGGUAUCCGGCCUGAGAGGGCGCACGGACACACUGGAACUGAAACACGGUCCAGACUCCUACGGGAGGCAGCAGUGGGGAAUUUUGCGCAAUGGGGGAAACCCUGACGCAGCAACGCCGCGUGGAGGAUGAAGCCCCUUGGGGCGUAAACUCCUUUCGACCAAGACGAUAAUGACGG